GGCGGGAUUCCCGAGCGGUCAAAGGGGAUGCGCUGUAAACGCAUUGGCUCUGCCUUCCCAGGUUCGAAUCCUGGUCCCGCCA
RNAcentral lists this transfer RNA (82 nucleotides) under Solirubrobacterales bacterium. RNAcentral's name for it is "tRNA-Tyr". It matches the Rfam family "tRNA". Rfam says of the family: Transfer RNA (tRNA) molecules are approximately 80 nucleotides in length. Their secondary structure includes four short double-helical elements and three loops (D, anti-codon, and T loops). Further hydrogen bonds mediate the characteristic L-shaped molecular structure. tRNAs have two regions of fundamental functional importance: the anti-codon, which is responsible for specific mRNA codon recognition, and the 3' end, to which the tRNAs corresponding amino acid is attached (by aminoacyl-tRNA synthetases). tRNAs cope with the degeneracy of the genetic code in two manners: having more than one tRNA (with a specific anti-codon) for a particular amino acid; and 'wobble' base-pairing, i.e. permitting non-standard base-pairing at the 3rd anti-codon position. RNAcentral also lists the same sequence under 3 other names. Lineage: Bacteria; Bacillati; Actinomycetota; Thermoleophilia; Solirubrobacterales. The record is from RNAcentral.